GAUGAAGAACGUAGCGAAAUGCGAUAAGUAAUGUGAAUUGCAGAAUUCAGUGAAUCAUCGAAUCUUUGAACGCACAUUGCGCCCCCUGGUAUUCCGGGGGGCAUGCCUGACCGAGCGUCAUUACAACCCUCAAGCUCAGCUUGGUAUUGGGCCCCGCCGACCCGGCGGGCCCUAAAGUCAGUGGCGGUGCCGUCCGGCUCCGAGCGUAGUAAUUCUUCUCGCUCUGGAGGUCCGGUCGUGUGCUCGCCAGCAACCCCCAAUUUUUUUCAGGUUGACCUCGGAUCAGGUAGGGAUACCCGCUGAACUUAAGCAUAUCAAUAAGCGGAGGA
RNAcentral lists this unclassified non-coding RNA (329 nucleotides) under soil metagenome. Its description in RNAcentral is "partial contains 5.8S ribosomal RNA, internal transcribed spacer 2, and large subunit ribosomal RNA". The stretch from base 1 to 120 matches the Rfam family "5.8S ribosomal RNA", at positions 35 to 154 of the family's 154-position model. The record is from RNAcentral.